UACGGGGGGGGCAAGCGUUGUUCGGAAUUACUGGGCGUAAAGGGCUCGUAGGCGGCCAACUAAGUCAGACGUGAAAUCCCUCGGCUUAACCGGGGAACUGCGUCUGAUACUGGAUGGCUUGAGAUUGGGAGAGGGAUGCGGAAUUCCAGGUGUAGCGGUGAAAUGCGUAGAUAUCUGGAGGAACACCGGUGGCGAAGGCGGUUCUCUGGGCCUGACCUGACGCUGAGGCGCGAAAGCCAGGGGAGCGAACGGG
This 253-nucleotide ribosomal RNA is filed under the name uncultured bacterium. Its description in RNAcentral is "partial 16S ribosomal RNA". It matches the Rfam family "Bacterial small subunit ribosomal RNA", at positions 524 to 776 of the family's 1533-position model. The record is from RNAcentral.